AAAUUACAUUUCGCUAGUUAUUAAUAUGGCUUAAACAUCUUGAAGACUAUCUUAUGUAGCAAUCUCAAAAAUCCGAUUAAAUAAUGAAUAAAAAUAUGCUCAAAGAAAUAACAAGGAAUCAAAAAAUUUUUAGCAUAAUUCAUGUAUCACAAACAACAUUAGCUAUUAGGCUAUUACUCCACCAGUCUACCUAUUACCUUUACAAAACAAAGUAUACCAAGACUUCAUAUACAGAAAUCUGGAAUCAAAACAUUUGAUAGGACCUCCCAUUCCAAAUUUUCAAGAUUAUAACAACUUCAGAUUCGGAUGUUCUUAUCAUCGUCUCCCACAGUGCCAUUCAUCUGGGAGUGAUGCUAGGAAUAACUCCACUAACAAGGUCGCUGCCAGAA
RNAcentral lists this unclassified non-coding RNA (389 nucleotides) under Hevea brasiliensis (rubber tree). The record is from RNAcentral. Lineage: Eukaryota; Viridiplantae; Streptophyta; Magnoliopsida; Malpighiales; Euphorbiaceae.